Molecule: unclassified non-coding RNA, 326 nt
Filed under: soil metagenome
Description: partial contains 5.8S ribosomal RNA, internal transcribed spacer 2, and large subunit ribosomal RNA
Rfam family: 5.8S ribosomal RNA (bases 1-120)
Source: RNAcentral
GAUGAAGAACGUAGCGAAAUGCGAUAAGUAAUGUGAAUUGCAGAAUUCAGUGAAUCAUCGAAUCUUUGAACGCACAUUGCGCCCCUUGGUAUUCCGAGGGGCAUGCCUGUUCGAGCGUCAUAUUAACCACUCCCGCUUGCGGGGUCUUGGGCUUCGCCUCCGGGCGGGCCUUAAAAUCAGUGGCGGUGCCGUCGGGCUCUACGCGUAGUAAAUUUUCUCGCGAUAGGGUCCCGGUGGAUGCUUGUCAACAACCCCCAACUUCUUAAGGUUGACCUCGGAUCAGGUAGGGAUACCCGCUGAACUUAAGCAUAUCAAUAAGCGGAGGA